This 346-nucleotide ribosomal RNA is filed under the name uncultured bacterium. Its description in RNAcentral is "partial 16S ribosomal RNA". It matches the Rfam family "Bacterial small subunit ribosomal RNA", at positions 338 to 681 of the family's 1533-position model. The record is from RNAcentral.
CCUACGGGUGGCAGCAGUGAGGAAUAUUGGUCAAUGGACGAGAGUCUGAACCAGCCAAGUAGCGUGAAGGAUGAAGGCCCUAUGGGGUGUAAACUUCAUGUAUAAAGGAAUAAAACGAGGCACGUGGGCCUUUUUGCAUGUACUUUAUGAAUAAGGAUAGGCUAACUCCGUGCCAGCAGCCGCGGUAAUACGGAGGCUCCGAGCGUUAUCCGGCUUUAUUGGGGUGAACGGGAGCGUAGAUGGGUUGGUUAGUCAGUGGUGAAAGUUUGCGGCUCAACCGUAAAAUUGCUAUUGAUACUGGCAGUCUUGAGUCCAGUUGAGGUCGGCGGAAUUCGUGGUGUAGCUG